CCUAUUUCUGCUGCUCAAGCAUCCUCCAAUGUAUGCAUUUCUUCUAAGAAGACCAACUUCCUCUUUCUUCACAAUAAAGGCCAUAACAGACACUUGCGAUUGUACUAACUACUUAAAAAUACUUUUCUGUGGGAGACAAUAAAAAGCAAAUUCUUUCAUCAGCAUCUCCCUCUUCCUGGUCUAACUUCCUCCUUCUUCCAGAGACACCUCCCAAGAGGAAUCCCCUGGGCUCGAGGAACUUCCGGAAGCACAUUCACCAGCCUGAGGCUGCGGGGCGGGAGGUCACAGCUUAGCCUGCCUCACAAACACUCUCACUUCCCACUUCCUCUGGUUCUGUCACCUCCCUGAGCUUGGGAAUGAGACAUUUAAAUCACCACAGCCCACUCAGAGAUGCUGCAGCUGCCAAUUAGACCUCUUCUCGGGAUUUGUGUUUAGGAAAGGGCCCCAGUUGUUUGGCUCUCUCCAGAAAAUGACUUAUGAAGAUGCCUUUGGAUCAUGUGACUCCUGGUUAAAAAAAUAAACAGCCCAAUUGUUGACACCUGACCUGCAACUGAGACAGAAGCCUUUACCACAUGGGGUGAGAUACAGAUUUCUCAAGAAAUGUCACUUGCUUUGUUUUUCUUAGCCUGGAAAGCCAAUUUGCAUGUUUUGUAUAAAGCUGAAUCUGAACCGGUGAGCCCUGUGGUAUCAAUAAUCUGAACUGUUCAAAAGUUGCUUUUUUGCAGAGCAAGAAUAAAUGACAAGGGCUUUGGAAAUGAGAGGGUUCAGAGCCAUUCUGUAUCCUGUGCUGUCCUUGGCUGCUGGAUUGCUGACCUGGGGCUUUUACCUGGUGGUCUGAUGAGUCAUGACAUUCAUAAAAGAGAAGAUAGCAGAGAUACUUGGAAGCUUCCUCCAGUCUGCUCCUUGGGUCUUCUGCUUACCAACUGUGCAACGCUGGGCAACAUGAGACUCCGUGCCUCAGACUGCUAAGACUCAAAAUGAGGGCGAAAGGCUGCUCUGCUCACCUCAGAAGUUUGUCUCAAUUUUCUAUAACAGAAAAUGUGCUAGCAUAGAUUUGGCCUAAUUAUAGCAUUUCCAUAAAUAAGUGAGGAGAGAGGAGAAAUGAUGGUUCUGAGGCCAUCUGUCAUGAAUUGACUAAUGUAACCCCUUGAGAACCUAGAAUUAUACUUGGACUCAUCAUUGAGGCAGUCACUCUGUGCUUUCAAAUGAAAAAUUAAAACCAUAGAAUAAGAGAGAAGGCUUCCCUUAUCAAAACCC
Molecule: long non-coding RNA, 1257 nt
Filed under: Heterocephalus glaber (naked mole-rat)
Lineage: Eukaryota; Metazoa; Chordata; Mammalia; Rodentia; Bathyergidae
Description: lncRNA (ENSHGLG00000045532.1)
Source: RNAcentral